CCUUCUUGCAGCCUGGACACCUAUAUUGUAGCGAUAAUUUUACCCAAGUUGCCUUAUCGUGGUGAAAGCGACCGUCCGCCCACAGAGGCAAAGACACACCUUUUGCAUUGACCGGGCUGCAGAAGCAAUGUCCUCCAGAGAAGUCAACCGACAUGUUCUAGUGACGUUCCCCAGCCAAGCGGUCCUACGAUAUCACCUGCACCAGAACCUGCCACCACUCUCUGUCGAACAGAGAAAGCAGAAACCGACAACACCACAAACAGAACUACUUGUAAGCGCUACGCCGGAAGCAACUGCUCUUUUAUUGCAAGACCUCAGCUACGCCGCAUUCGACAAGACAAUUUUACCAAAUUCCGUCGAGUCUCCGAGAAGCGAAAGAGAUUGUCGACAGCUGUUUCGUUUAGGUCAUAAUUAAAAAAAAGAGGCAAAGUUUGAUUUGUCUUCCCAUCAAGAGGAC
Molecule: long non-coding RNA, 457 nt
Organism: Dermacentor andersoni
Lineage: Eukaryota; Metazoa; Arthropoda; Arachnida; Ixodida; Ixodidae
Source: RefSeq, a predicted model, not a curated record